GAUGAAGAACGCAGUGAAAUGUGAUACGUAAUGUGAAUUGCAGAAUUCAGUGAAUCAUCGAGUCUUUGAACGCACAUUGCGCCCCCUGGUAUUCCGGGGGGCAUGCCUGUCCGAGCGUCAUUGCUGCCCUCAAGCACGGCUUGUGUGUUGGGCCUCCGUCCUCCUCCCGGGGGACGGGCCCGAAAGGCAGCGGCGGCACCGCGUCCGGUCCUCGAGCGUAUGGGGCUUCGUCACCCGCUCUUGUAGGCCCGGCCGGCGCUUGCCGACACAUCAAUCUUUUUUCCAGGUUGACCUCGGAUCAGGUAGGGAUACCCGCUGAACUUAAGCAUAUCAAUAAGCGGAGGA
RNAcentral lists this unclassified non-coding RNA (345 nucleotides) under soil metagenome. Its description in RNAcentral is "partial contains 5.8S ribosomal RNA, internal transcribed spacer 2, and large subunit ribosomal RNA". The stretch from base 1 to 120 matches the Rfam family "5.8S ribosomal RNA", at positions 35 to 154 of the family's 154-position model. The record is from RNAcentral.